AUCCUUCCGUAUUAUAGUUCAUAAGCAUGAUGACUGGGUUUUCAUGCUCAGAUGUGAAAUGUGACUCCCUUAAACCUUGUUACUACAUUGCACAUUACUUGUCUGAUG
Molecule: non-coding RNA, 108 nt
Organism: Otolemur garnettii (small-eared galago)
Lineage: Eukaryota; Metazoa; Chordata; Mammalia; Primates; Galagidae
Source: Rfam